Hemicordylus capensis (graceful crag lizard) is the source of this 712-nucleotide long non-coding RNA. RefSeq lists it as uncharacterized. The transcript is spliced from 3 exons. The record is from RefSeq and is a predicted model, not a curated record. NCBI's taxonomy places the organism in Eukaryota, Metazoa, Chordata, Lepidosauria, Squamata, Cordylidae.
AGAUCUAAUUAACCUCUGAGGGUGGUGACAGGCUUGAGAAAUGGUAAAGUUAUUAACGAACAUCAUGAUUCUAUUAUAAAUGCAAAAGAUCAUAUUCAGGAGGAAGUUUUCAUCAAAAUCGAAAGGGGUACUAUUGGGGCUCCAGUGGCAUAAUGCAAAGCAGCGGUGCUUCCCUGCGCCUGACCCCCCAGAGCAGCCAAGCAAGGUGUGGGUAUACGGCAGGAGAGCCACCACUCAUCUGGGUGGGUGAUCCACCCACCCAAAGAACUACUACUGAUCGUCUGCAAGGAAGGUCUUCCCUGGAAAAUCAUGGAAAAACUGGAAAAAAACAACCGCUCAAAGAAAACAUCAAUUUUAAACUUAUUAAAAGCAGCAUUGUCCUUCCAGUGAUAGCUAAAUCUUUCUGUUGAGAUUUGCAUAUAUGGUUACAUGUAUUUAUCAGCUUUGAUCAUUACAUUUUAUGAUCAACAAUUCCAAGUUCUAACAAUUGCCUUAAAAUCUGCAGUAAUUUGUCCACCAAGUGUAUCAAUAAUUAGAUAGUAAAUUACAUGGCAUUUUAAAAAGAAAUGAGGCCACUAAUACAAGGCUUUUGGUUCAUUUUAUACAUAUUGUUAAUUAAUAAAACUAGUGCUGGAAGCAAUGUGAUUUUAAAGCUGUUUAAAUACCUCACAAAUUGUAUAAAUAUCAAAGGCUUUUUUAAUACAAGCAAUGA